AAUUCAAUAGAAUAAGAUCUGUUAUGAUAUAUGCUAGUAAUUCAUAAUUAAAUACUAAGCCCAUGUAAUACUGAGACCAUAGAAUCCUAAGCUCAUCAUGAUGAGAUCAUAAUUAUUAGAAUCAAUAACGCUCUACGAUCGAACCCAAUUUACAGAGCAGGUACCAAGGUACUGUCGCUCUUCCACUGUUCGAUCCGGCUUUCACUGGUAUCACUUCGACGAGAUUCUGUAUAGAUGUUAGUUCAACUGUGUUUGUUAUAAUAAACUCUACAUCCUCGGUGAUAGUAUCAUUUCUUACAUUAGAAGCUUUAGAUAAUUAGAUGAACUUAUGUUAAUUGCGAAAGAUACUUCCAAGGCAAGACGUAUGUUGGAAUCAGCGGAAAUGAGAAUUCUUGCCGGGAAAACUUUGUACGAAGAGAAAGCAGGGACCACAUAAAAAGAAUGUGUGAGGUCCAAAACAACCAGGAGUGAAUAACCAACAGAAAGAGAGAAUGGAACGUGCACAUAGAGAGAAAGGUACAGGAUAGAAUCUUGACAGCGACCAGGCAUAGAUAACCUCUAGGAAAGAGGAUUAUCGGCCGUCCAAGGAAGGAUAUGGAAUCUAUGCCCCGAAUAGGGACAUAAGCGUUUACGUGCUUAAACCCAUUUACAACUUUCCAUGUAAUUUCAUAGAUUUGGUUUGUUUGAUGAAUCAUGGAAUCUCUAACUAUUAAUUUUCAGGAUGUGCUGAUUAUCAGUUCAAGUAUCUACAGUCAACAUCUCCUUGUUGAUAAAAAAAAAACUUACGGUUUUGUAUUCCUCUAUCAGUUUAACUUUAUCUGUUAUUAUAGUAGGAUAUCCUAUACGUUCAUUCAUAGCAUUUGCUUUUUCUUUAGCAACAGCUCUUGUUUCAUCGUCCAUCCAGUCAUUAUCAGACAAUAGCUCAUUAAAGGCCUCUCUUAUAGUGUGAAUCAUCA
Long non-coding RNA from Harmonia axyridis, 956 nucleotides. RefSeq lists it as uncharacterized. NCBI's taxonomy places the organism in Eukaryota, Metazoa, Arthropoda, Insecta, Coleoptera, Coccinellidae. The record is from RefSeq and is a predicted model, not a curated record. The transcript has 2 exons.